Molecule: long non-coding RNA, 2312 nt
Organism: Mesocricetus auratus (golden hamster)
Lineage: Eukaryota; Metazoa; Chordata; Mammalia; Rodentia; Cricetidae
Exons: 3
Source: RefSeq, a predicted model, not a curated record
GGGUAGGGGAAGUCGGCGAACCACCAGGGUUCCAGGCCGCCCAGCGACGCUCCGCCCAGGCUCUCCGAGUCCUCGGAGUCCGAAGGUGACGGCUCGAGGUCCAGUCCCCCCUUCUGCUGGUGCUUCCCCUACCUCCACGCUCCCUUUCCUACCCUGGAGAAGGCCAGCAGGAAAUCCAUGCGGUGGGUCGGCCCCAGGCAAUGCCGCAGGCGCCAGUACACCAGGUGUUCCCAGGCGAAGACCAGCAAGGAGAGGCCCAUGGCCACGAGGAGCAUGUAGAAGACACCUGCCAUGUUGUCGAUAUCCAGCUUGCUGCUCAUCACCUCGAUUUUGUCAUUGUGGCAGAUCCCGGAAAGCCACAGUCGCUCCAACAUUUCAAUCUCAUCUGGGGAUGGGGUCAGAGUCACUUACUGUGAACACACCUUCCUCUGAUAGAGCCCUGGCCCCAUCCCAUCCUCCCCAGGAUGGAGGGCCAGCCCUCCCAUCUCCAGGGUAGGAGGACUUCCUGCCCAGAGUAGCCGCACCAUCCCCCAGGAACUGCAGCAGAGCCAGGUCGAUGGGCCUCUUCCAGCGGGAGCCCUUGUGCAGGGCGAUGCCGUAACCAGUGGUGGCGAAGACCUUGCCAGAGCCGAUGGUGACCAGCUUGCAGCCCUCGUCCUUGCGGGCCAUGUAGUUGAGCACUGCUGCGUCAUAGAUGAAGGCGUCCAGUUUCCUGAGGACAGGGGCAUGAAAGACAGGGUCAGUCUCACUUAGGUGACCUCAUGGCACGCCAGGAACCCUUUCGUCUCUAACUGAGCGGGUGCCUCUCCUGUGCCUCUUUGCAACAUUGUAAAGGACAGGCGGGACUGCCCGGCAGAGAGAAUAAAAAGGAGAGAUCUGGGCUUGAGAGCAGGAAAGACACACCUCGGGCAAGAAGCCAGGCAGAUGCCAGCCAGAGAGAGGCAGCGAAGGUCCCUGCCCUUCAGCCACCUGUGCCUCCCACGCACCUCGCACCUGCAUCAGGGCCUCUGAACACCUCUGCCUGCAAGGCUCAGUCUACCCCAGGGGCAUGCACACGCUCCCUCAGAGGCCACCAGAGGCCACGGGACCCUGACCCUGCCGAGAAGCCACUCUGACACCUGCCUGGUGACCCUGACCCUGCCAAGAAGCCACUCUGACACCUGCCUGGUGACCCUGACCCUGCCAAGAAGCCACUCUGACACCUGCCUGGUGACCCUGACCCUGCCAAGAAGCCACUCUGACACCUGCCUGGUGACCCUGACCCUGCCGAGAAGCCACUCUGACGCCUGCCUGGUGACCCUGUUGGUUUGUGUGUUUGAUGCUCACUGUUCACUCGAGACUCUCAGUAACUGAGAAUAGGAAGUGUCUGUCUAAUGUCCAGCACAAGAAGACAAUAAGAAAAGAAGCAUGAGGGGCUGGAGAGAUGGCUCAGAGGUUAAGAGCACUGACUGCUCUUCCAGAGGUCUUGAGUUCAAUUCCCAGCAACCACAUGGUGGCUGACAACCAUCUACAAUUCAAUCUGGUGUAUAUGUAAUAAAUAAAUAAAUCUUUAAAAAAAAAAAGAAAAGAAGCAUGUUGGAAUCUAAGUAAGGAGAACUACUGCACUUAGCCUAGGAGACUGCAAUGCUGGGGAACGAGCCCAGGGCUUGGGACACACUAGGCCAGCCCUCUGUCACUCAGCCAUAGUCCCGCCCUCUGUCACUCAGCCACAGUCCAGGCCCUUAACUAACCAGGUUUGCCACACUAGAGGCCGCACUCUGGGGACUGAAUUUAACUUUAUCCCUGUGAUUUAAAGAGCUAACGUGAAAAACAAUACCCUUCCUAUAAUCCAAGUAUUUGUUGCACAGUUCAGAACUGAUAACUAUACAAUAAUUAUAAAAAAGACCUACUGUGGAAUCAUCUCUGUGGAGCUUCCAAGAAGAGAGAAAGAAGAAGAGAGGAGAGGAGAGGAGUUUGAGUCUAGGAGCACGGGAGACACCAGAGGAGAUGAAGACGAAACAGGAGGUACAAGGCGGGAGAGAGGUAACAAGCCACGAGACGAAACUUAGACUAAUAAACUUAAGUUAUAAGAGCUAGUGUCCAAGCCCAAACUAUAGGCUGAGCUUUCGUAAUUAAUAAUGUCUCCAUGUCGUGUUCUGUGAGCUGACGGCCCAAAGAAAAAUCUGUCUACAAAGAGCCACCGUACUCUGGCCACUGUCCAGCGUGGAUUAGCUACGUUGUUUUGAGACAAGGUCUCAGACUAUAUCCCAGUUGGCCUGGAACACACCGAGAGCUGCCGCCACUCUAAUUCCAAAUGCCUGACCAAACUUUGU